RNAcentral lists this ribosomal RNA (1370 nucleotides) under uncultured bacterium. RNAcentral describes it as "bacterial SSU rRNA". It matches the Rfam family "Bacterial small subunit ribosomal RNA". The record is from RNAcentral.
GAGUUUGAUCCUGGCUCAGGACGAACGCUGGCGGCGCGCCUAACACAUGCAAGUCGAACGAGCGAGAGAGAGCUUGCUUUCUCAAGCGAGUGGCGAACGGGUGAGUAACGCGUGAGGAACCUGCCUCAAAGAGGGGGACAACAGUUGGAAACGACUGCUAAUACCGCAUAAGCCCACAGCUCGGCAUCGAGCAGAGGGAAAAGGAGCAAUCCGCUUUGAGAUGGCCUCGCGUCCGAUUAGCUAGUUGGUGAGGUAAUGGCCCACCAAGGCGACGAUCGGUAGCCGGACUGAGAGGUUGAACGGCCACAUUGGGACUGAGACACGGCCCAGACUCCUACGGGAGGCAGCAGUGGGGAAUAUUGCACAACGGGGGAAACCCUGAUGCAGCGACGCCGCGUGGAGGAAGAAGGUCUUCGGAUUGUAAACUCCUGUUGUUGAGGAAGAUAAUGACGGUACUCAACAAGGAAGUGACGGCUAACUACGUGCCAGCAGCCGCGGUAAAACGUAGGUCACAAGCGUUGUCCGGAAUUACUGGGUGUAAAGGGAGCCGCACGCGGGAAGACAAGUUGGAAGUGACAUCUAUGGGCUCACCCCAUAAACGGCUUUCAAAACUGUUUCUCUUGAGUACUGCAGAGGUACGGCGGAAUUCCCGGUGUAGCGGUGGAAUGCGUAGAUAUCGGGAGGAACACCAGUGGCGAAGGCGGCNUACUGGGCACCAACUGACGCUGAGGCUCGAAAGUGUGGGUAGCAAACAGGAUUAGAUACCCUGGUAGUCCACACCGUAAACGAUGAUUACUAGGUGUUGAAGGAUUGACCCCUUCAGUGCCGCAGUUAACACAAUAAGUAAUCCACCUGGGGAGUACGACCGCAAGGUUGAAACUCAAAGGAAUUGACGGGGGCCCGCACAAGCAGUGGAGUAUGUGGUUUAAUUCGACGCAACGCGAAGAACCUUACCAAGUCUUGACAUCCUGCGACGCAUAUAGAAAUAUGUGUUUCCUUCGGGACGCAGAGACAGGUGGUGCAUGGUUGUCGUCAGCUCGUGUCGUGAGAUGUUGGGUUAGGUCCCGCAACGAGCGCAACCCUUACUGUCAGUUACUACGCAAGAGGACUCUGGCAGGACUGCCGUUGACAAAACGGAGGAAGGUGGGGAUGACGUCAAAUCAUCAUGCCCUUUAUGACUUGGGCUACACACGUACUACAAUGGCGUUAAACAAAGAGAAGCAAGACCGCGAGGUGGAGCAAAACUCAGAAACAACGUCCCAGUUCGGACUGCAGGCUGCAACUCGCCUGCACGAAGUCGGAAUUGCUAGUAAUCGUGGAUCAGCAUGCCACGGUGAAUACGUUCCCGGGCCUUGUACACACCGCCCGUC